Corythoichthys intestinalis (scribbled pipefish) is the source of this 9811-nucleotide RNA transcript. It is a transcript of the gene named cugbp, Elav-like family member 3a, with no coding region annotated. The record is from RefSeq and is a predicted model, not a curated record. The transcript has 15 exons. NCBI's taxonomy places the organism in Eukaryota, Metazoa, Chordata, Actinopteri, Syngnathiformes, Syngnathidae.
AAUCUGUAAUAAAUACCAUUAAUAUACAGUGCUGACCAAAAGUACUGGCACUCCUGCAAUUCUGUCAGCUAAUGCUCAAUUUCUCCCAGAAAAUGAUUGCAAUUACAAAUGCUUUGGUGGCAAUAUCUUCAUAUAUUUUGCUUGCAAUGAAAAAAAACACAAAAGAGAAUGAAAAAAAAUUAAAUCAUUAUCAUUUUACACAAAACUCAAACAAAAAUGGGACGGACAAAAGCAUUGGCACCCUCAGCCUAAUACUUGGUAGCACAACCUUUAGACAAAAUAACUGUGAACAACUGCUUCUGGUAUCCAUCAAUGAGUUUCUUACAAUGCUUUGCUGGAAUUUUAGACAAUUCUUCUUUGGCCAACUGCUCCAGUUCUCUGAGAUUUGAAGGGUUCCUUCUCCAAACUGCCAUUUUCAGAUCUCUUCACAGGUGUUCAAUGGGAUUCUGGUCUUGAGUCAUUGCUGGCCACUUUGGACGUCUCCAGUGCUUUCUCUCAAACCAUUUUCUAGUGCUUUUUGAUGUGUGUUUUGGGUCCGGCUGGAAGACGCAUGACCUCUGAGGGAGACCCAUCAUUCUCACACCGGGCCCUACAUUGUGCUGCAAAAUUUGUAGAUAAUCUUCAGACUUCAUAAUGCCAUGCUCACGGUCAAGCAGUCCAGUGCCAGAGGAAGCAAACCCAAAACAUCAGGGAACCUCCGCCAUGUUUGACUGUGGGGACUGUGUUCUUUUCUUUGAAGGCCUCGUUUUUUUUCCUGUAAAUUCUAUGUUGAUGUCUUUUCCCAAAAAGCUAUAUUUUUGUCUCAUCUGACCAGAGAACAUUCUUCCAAAACAUUUUUGGCUUUCUCAGGUAAGUUUUGGCAAACUCCAGCCUGGCUUUUUAUGUCUCUGGGUCAGAAAUGGGGUCUUCCUGGGUAUCCUACCACAGAGUCCCUUUUCAUUCAGACGCUGGCGAAUAGUAUGGGUUGACACGGUUUUUACCCAUGGACUGCAGGACAGCUUGAACUUGUUUGGAUGUUAAUCGAGGUUCUUUACCCACCAUCCGCACACAUUUUUUGUUGAAAUCUCUUGUCAAUUUUUGUUUUCCGUCCACAUCUAGGGACGUUAACCAUAGUGCCAUGGGCUUUACACUUAUUGAUGACACUGCACGGUAGAUACAGGAACAUUCAGUUCUUUGGAGAUGGACUUUUAGCCUUGAGAUUGCCCAUGCUUCCUCACAAUUGUGCUUCUCAAGUCCUCAGACAGUUCUUUGGUCUUCUUUCUUUUCUCCAUGCUCAAUGUGGUACACAGAAGGACACAGGACAGAAGUUGAGUCAACUUUAAUACAUUUUAACUGGCUGCAAAUGUGAUUUAGUUAUUGCCACCACCUGUUAUGUGCCACAGGUGCUGUUAAUUACACAAAUUAGAGAAGCAUCAUAUGAUUUUUCAAAGGGUGCCAAUCUCUUUGUCCGGCCCUUUUUUGGAGUUUGGUGUAAAAUGAUAAUGAUUUAAGUAUAACAUGAGGAGCAUGGAGUUCUGCUGGGUGUACAAAGUACACUUCUUCUGGUGCUCUUCGGUGUGGGGAUCAAAAAAGUGACAAUUAAAAAAACUGAGGCACUCAAGAAGUGCAAAAAAUAAAAAGCCUUUAUUCAAUCAUUCAAACAGCCCCACAGCAUCACUGAUCCACCCCCAUACUUCACAGUGGGUAUGAGGUGCUGUCUACACGCCAACAAGCUGUUUGGGAGGCAUGCACGGAGAAAACCUUUUCUCACUCACAAUCAUAAACGCAAACGUCUGGAGUUCGCCAAGCGGUAUUGGGGCUUCAACUGGGACCGUGUGCUUUGGCCAGAUAAGACCAAGAUUUAGCUGUUUGGCAACAAACACUCUAAGUGGGUCUGGCGUGCCACGAAAGAAAAAGCACCUCAUACCCACUGUGAAGUAUGGGGGUGGGUCAGUGAUGCUGUGGGGCUGUUUCGCUUCCAAAGGGCCUGGGAACCUUGUUAGGGUGCAUGGCAUCAUGAAUACUUUGAAAUACCAGGACAUUUAAAAUAGAAAUCUGUUGCCCUCUGCCCGAAAGCUGAAGAUGGGUCAUCACUGGGUCUUUCAGCAAGACACUGACCCUAAACAUAUGGCCAAAUCUACACAGAAAUGGUUCACAAGACACAAAAUCAAGCUCCUCCCAUGGCCAUCUCAGUCCCCAGACCUCAACCCCAUUGAAAACCUGUAGGGUGAGCUGAAGAGGAGAGUACAGAGGAGAGGACCCAGGUCUCUGGAUGAUUUAGAGAGAUUCUGCAAAGAGGAAUGGCUGAAGAUCCCUCUUUCUGUCUUUUCCCAUCUUGUGAAACAUUAUAGGAGAAGAUUAGGUGCUGUUUUAUUGGCAAAAGGGGGUUGUACAAAGUAUUAACACCAGGGGGGCUAGUAAUCGUGACACACAUUAAUUAAUGUCAAGUAAUUAUUUCUUUACGUGGGAUUUUUUCCCCCACUGAAUAAAUGCACUUGUAUUGAAGGUUGGAUUUUUCUUUUUUUCCCCAUUAAGGUCCCAUGUUUUUUAGAAAAAAAAAUUAUUAGAAGCUAAAAAACACAUAAUUAUUAUAAAUCCAAUAAUUAUGCUGGGCACUGUACUUAUCUGCAGAAAUGCGAAGGGUGUACUCACUUUUGUGAUACACUGUAUUUUAAGAAUAUUGACAGAAUAUUUUGUUGUUUUCAGUUGGACAAAAAAAUAUCGGUGUUUUUGUCAAGAGAGAUAUGACCACAUUAAAGCCAAUUUAACUUAGAAAAAAAAAAUGAAUAUGACAGUUUUGGCGAAUAUUUGGGAAACCGCCCCUUACCGUCCUGGAUUUUUUAAAUUUGUAAGUUAUGCGAUUUUGUCAAAAAUUGUAGGACAAGUAGCGUUUUGAGAAAUUUUAGUCUUUUUUUUUUUUUUCCAAAAAAAUAUCCAAAUUUAUGGGCAAACGGAAUUUUUUUUUGGGGUCGUUUGAAAAAGUCCCUGUGUAUCGUGAAAAUUCCAAUCAUUUUGAUAUUAGAAUUGUGACAGUCGAUCAAACGGUUUGGGUUGUGCGGCCCGCCGAAGAAAAGCCAUUCAAAAAAAGAAAAAAGUAAUAUAUGCAGGGCCGGCCCAGCCUAUACGCAGACUAUGCAGCUGCUUCGGGCCCCUGACCACUAGGGGGCCCCCAAUCUGGCAAUUGUUUAAUUUAUAUUCUAUUUUGUUUACUACUGUUUGCUUUAUUUGACUUUUGUGAGUUUUGAUACUUGAUUACAAGCUUGAAAAAAAUAAAAGUUCUUCCUGAAGUUCUUUCUUUCCUGUUUUAGGAAAAGGUUUGGCUCUAUCUACUGUAAGUACUUGGGGUGAGAAGUUUGAAGUAUGCAGUUCAACAAAACCUGAUUAAUAUACAAAAUAUGGACGCAUGGGUUGGCUUGCAUGUAUGGGUUUCACAGUAUACUGUGACGAAAUGGUGGACCAAAAUUAUGGGCCCCUUUGCAUUAUUUUGCUUAGGGCCCCAAAAUGGCCUGGGCCGGCCCUGAUUAUAUGUUGCAAAGCCCCAUCUAAAAAUGUGUGUGUGUUUGGUGAUGUUGGCGAGUGUAAUUGUUGGUACUUUAGUGACGGUCCCUGACGCUUGCCUAGCCCCGCCCACUGGCAGAAUGGUGGGAGAUGGACUGGGAGGGAGACACCGGCUUACGACGUCAAAGGAGUACGCAAACGCACACACACAUACUACACACCGAAACACGCUUAGAGGAUCGGACAGGAGAACCAACAGACUGCCAAUUCCCUGCGGUCUACUGAAGGAAGCAGAAAAAAAUCCAUCUGUCCCAACACAUUCACAGCGUUGACUGACUUUUUUGUUUAUUUUUGUUUUACAAUCGCAAAGGAAAGAAAAGAAAAAUCCGCGGAGCAUCUCGCAAAGAGGGCACAACAACAACAGAUUUCAAAACCAGGAGAAACUCGCUCUUUCCCGUAUGAAGCGUUGUCAUUGGCCUUAUUCAGAAUUGGAUGUUCAAACAAAAAAAUCCAAAGGCACUACUUGUCAAAUGAAUUGAAUCGUUGAGAUCGAACAAGUCUUGGGAGCGGAAGACAGGAGGACGUCCACUAUUUGCGUCGAUUCUUUGCCAAGAGCAGCACCACAGACUCUCAAUGAAGGAGCCUGAUGCAAUCAAGCUCUUCAUUGGGCAAAUACCCCGAAACCUGGAGGAAAAAGAUCUCAAGCCCAUCUUUGAACAAUUCGGCAAGAUCUAUGAGCUGACUGUCAUAAAGGACAAGUACACAGGAAUGCACAAAGGAUGCGCCUUCCUGACGUACUGCGCACGUGAGUCGGCCCUCAAAGCCCAGAAUGCACUGCACGAGCAAAAGACGCUUCCAGGGAUGAACCGCCCAAUCCAGGUGAAGCCAGCAGACAGCGAGAGCAGAGGGGAAGACAGGAAGCUGUUUGUGGGUAUGCUGGGAAAACAACAGACGGACCCCGAUGUGAGAAAGAUGUUUGAACCCUUUGGCAGCAUCGAGGAGUGCACUGUGCUCCGCGGGCCCGACGGUACCAGCAAAGGGUGUGCAUUUGUAAAGUUCCAGAACAACGUAGAGGCCCAGGCUGCUAUCAACGCUCUCCAUGGAAGUCGUACUCUACCUGGAGCUUCAUCCAGUCUGGUUGUUAAGUUUGCCGAUUCAGAGAAGGAGCGGGGGCUUCGGCGAAUGCAGCAGGUGGCCUCUCAGCUGGGUGUCAUCAGUCCUAUGACCCUGCACCUCGGGGCCUACAACGCCUACACGCAAGCUUUAAUGCAGCAGCAGGCACUGGUAGCGCAGUCAGCUUACCUCUCUCCUGUUGCCACGGUGGCGGCCGUUCAGAUGCAACAGUUAGCCGCCCUCAACCCCAGUAGCAUCAUCGCCACACCGAUCGCAUCCAUCACCCCCUCCUCAGGUACCAGUACACCACCCUCCAUUGCCGCCACACCUGUUCCUGCUCUACCUGCACCAAUUGCAGUGAGCAGCUACCCUUCUGUGGCAGCUCCACCCAAUGGCCAAUCAGCCACUGAGGCUCUGUACACCAACGGAGUCCACGCCUAUCAAGCUCAGAGUCCGGUGCUGGAUCCACUGCAGCAAGCUUACACAGGCAUGCAGCAUUAUACAGCUACCUAUCCUGCUGCCUACAGCCUGGUGGGGCAGCCAUUCCCCCAUCAGCCCACUCUGGUAGCUCAGCAGCCCCAGCAGCCGCAGCAACUACAACAACGUGAAGGUCCUGAAGGCUGCAACAUCUUCAUCUACCACCUGCCUCAGGAGUUCACCGAUUCUGAGAUCCUGCAAAUGUUCUUGCCCUUUGGAAAUGUCAUCUCGGCCAAGGUCUUCGUUGACCGUGCUACCAACCAAAGCAAAUGCUUCGGUUUUGUGAGUUUCGACAACCCGUCCAGUGCUCAGACUGCCAUCCAGGCUAUGAAUGGCUUCCAGAUAGGCAUGAAGAGACUGAAGGUGCAGCUGAAAAGGCCCAAGGAUGCCAACAGACCUUACUGAAGAAGACCCGUCCCGUCUACAUACAUAAAUCGUGGAGACGUGCGUCGCUAUGGCUACGGUCGCUUAGCAACCGCUAAAACCUCCCCCUUCCUUCUCACUGCGUCGACAAUUUAGGAGUUCAAUCAAGAAAACCACCUCGGGAUGUCCCAGCCUUGUUUGGUUGUUUGACCAACUAUAAUAGCACAUAGGAGCAACACUUCACACACACAAACAAACAGUGUUACACGUUUUCUAUACGUACAGCUAAUAAAACAACAGCUACUGCAGUAAAUAUCAUCAAGGAAUAUACAUUGGCAAAGUGUAUCAGAAGUGCUCCAAGAAUUCCUAUCAUUCCAUUGCUGGAUUUGUUUUAUGAUGUACAUAAUCUACUGGCAAGUUCUAAUCUUCAUGUUAAAAAAAAAUAUCACUAAUGUGAUUCUACUGAACAGGGUCCUGUUGUAUAGUGUGAUUUUGUGAUCUAGAUGGUCGGCUCUAAACUAUGGAGGACCAAAUGGGACAAAAUGAAAUCUAAAUACUUAAAUGCGUCAUUAAUUGAUUAAAAUGGGAAUUCAAUACUUUAAUUCAGAAAAAUACAAGUUCAUUUAUGUAAAAACAGCAUUUUUUCACUAUUUAAAGCAACACUAGGUAACUUUUCAACCUUUAUAAAAAUAUUUGCUUAACUUUUGUGAUAUGUCGACUGACAACUAGUUGAAUGACACCUCUUUUAUAUCUUGAGUGGGUCUGUAUCGCUUUCACCGGCACUUAUUAACUUUGAGGAGGGUGGCAGGAACCCUGCCACACAUAAAAAAAACUAUUUUUAGGGCAUUUAUGGGGUCACUUCCUGUUGAUUUUCAUGCAUUUAUGGGUCUUUUCCUGUUAAUUUUGGGUUACUGAACAGGAAGUGAUGCAAGAAUGUCCAAAUAAUAUAUGGAAAGUGAUUCAAAAUCACCGGAAGUGACCCCAAAAUCCCUCCGUAUCAACCGGAAGUGACCCUAAAUGAACAGGAAGUGUACCCGAAUUGAUCCAAAAUCAACAGGAAGUGACUCGAUACCUAAAGGAAGUCCGAUAUGCCUCAAAAUCAACACUCGUCACAGCAAAGCUGCCAUCGCAAUUUUCCCAGAAAUUGCCGUUUCUAGUUAAAUAGUGAGUUUUUUUUUUAUUACAUUAAAUGGACUCGUAUUUUAGUGAAUGAAUGGCACUUUUAUUUAAUUAAUUUCCACACAUUGAAGUAUUUAUGUAAACAUGUAUUUAUAUACAAUGGUAUAAAAAAGUAUCUGAACCUUUUGGAAUUUCUCACAUUUCUGCAUACAAUCACCAUCAAAUGUGAUCUUUGUCAAAAUCACACAGAUGAAAAUACAGUGUCUGCUUUAACUAAAACCACCCAAACAUAUAUAGGUUUUCAUAUUUUAAUGAGGAACACAUGCAAACAAUGACAGAAGAGAGAAAAAUAAGCAAGUGAACCCUCUGCCUCAGGAGACUUCAAGAGCAAUUGAAACCAAUUUUUACCAAACAUUUGAAGUCAGGUGUGUGCCCAAUCACUGAUGAGUGGUUUAAAGCUGCCCUGCCCUCUAUAAAUCACACACCUGGUAAGAAUUGUCUUGAUGAGAAGCAAUGUCUGAUCUGCAUCAUGGCUCGGUCAAAAGAGCUGUCUGAAGACCUGCGAUCAAGGAUUUUUGAUUUGUAUGAAGCUGGGAAAGGAUACAAAACAAUGUCUAAAAGUCUGGAUGUUCAUCAAUCUGCCUAAGGAAACUUAGGAGCAGUCGAAACAAAUUUUUACCAAAAAUGUUAAGUAAGAUGUGUGCCCAAUCACUGAUGAGUGGUUUAAACACUAGAACUACCCAGGGUAGAUCAGUUGAUACAAAUCACUUUUGUAACCAGAGAAAGGUCAUCCGACCCUAAUCAGCAUAUCAUUUGUGAACACUGAGGUCCUCAUUAGUCAUUCCCAUUCACACUUGCAAAACCACAGGGAUGGAUUGCUCCAAUUAGCAUCUUGACUGUUUGCAGGGCAGGGCUGCCUUGGCUUUGUUGGACAAUGGACCGCUCAGGCAGGCAGUCGGGCAGACAACCUUUUUACAUAUUCCAAAAGCUGCAGUUUUCCUACAGUAUGUACUGUAUACUGAAGCUUGUGUUUGCUGUGACAAAACAGCUGUUUCAGCUGCAUUGGAAAGUUCUUUGGUCAUUGUGUGCUUCAACAUAUAUAAACUGUGAACCUUGACAACUGAAUGUUGGACUUGUCAAGACAAAGUAAAGGUGCUUGAUGGGAUUUGUCACAGAUGUUCUAGCACUCUUCUCAAGUGUAGACAGUCUGGUUUAGCUACAGUUCUGGAUGCUAGUCGUAGUUUCAUGCCACAUGGCCCUCUCAUCAUUUUUACACUAACCCAGGAGUUAGCAAGUCUGGAUUUAAAAAUAUUCAAGAUGCUAAUUGCAGGUAUUCAGAGUGAAACCCCCCCUUCACACCUAGGCUGCUUGAUUGCUUGUUUGAGUUGUCUAUUGUUUGACAAAGCCAAGUAGUCAGUUUGAUAUCGGGGUCAUUUGACAGUGUUAAAGCUGACCUGCCCAUUAUAAAACACACACCUGGUAAAAAAAAAUGUCUUGAUGAUAACCAUUGUCUGAUAGGCAUCAUGGCUUGUUCGAAAGAGCUGUCUGAAGAGAUGUGAUCAGGGAUUGUUGAGUUGUAUAAUGUUGGGAAAGGAUACAAAACCAUCUGUAAAAGUCUGGAUGUUCAUCAAUCGUCAGUCAGAGAAGCUGUCUACAAAUGGAGAGAGUUUGGCACUGUUGCUUCUCUCCCAGGAAGCGGCCGUCCACCAAAGAUGAUGCCAAGAAAUCAGCGCAGAAUACUCAGAGAGGUAAAAAAAGAACCCUAGAGUGUCAGCUAAAGACUUACAGUAAUCGCUGGGACAGUCCAAUAUCUCCGUGUACACAUCAACUAUAUGUAAAACUAUGGCAAAGAAUGGUGUUGAUGGGAGGACUCCACUGAGGAAGCCACUGCUAUCUUAAAAAAAAAUAUUGUUGCUCGUUUAAUGUUCGCAAAAAGGCACUUAGGACACUCCACAGACGUUUUGGUAAAAUAUUUUGUGGACUGAUGAAACCAAAGUUGAAUUGUUCGGGAGUAACACACAAUGUCAUGUGUGGAAGAAAAAUGGCACAGCUCACCAACAUCAACAACUCAUCCCCACCGUGAAGCAUGGUGGAGGGAGCAUUAUGUUUUGGGGCUGUUUUGCUGCUUCAGGGUCUGGAUAACUUGCAAUCAUUAAUGGAAGAAUAAAUUCAAACGUUUAUCAGGAUUUUUUGCAAGAAAAUCUAAGGCAGUCUGUCAGACAGUUGAAGCUUAAAAGCUGCAACAAGACAAUGAUCCAAAACACAGAAGUAAAUCAACUCCAGAAUGGUUUCAGAAGAACAAAAUACACGUUCUGGAGUCGCCAAGUCAAACUCCAGACUUGAACCCCAUUGAGAUGCUGUGGCAUGACCUAAAGACCGCGAUUCAUGCCAGAAAUCCCAUGAAUCUGACUAAACUACAGCAGUUUUGUAGAGAAGAAUGGGCCAAGAUUAGUCCUGAUCAAUAUGCCAGACUGAUCUGCAGCUACAGGGAGCGCCUGGUUGAAGUUAUUACUGCCAAAGGGGGGCACAAAAUAUUAAAUGUGAGGGUUCACUCACUUAUUUUUGCCCCGUCUGUCAUUAUUUGCAUACUAUCCUCAUUAAAAUAUGAAAACCUAUAAAUGUUUGAGUGGUUUUAGUUAAAGCAGACACUGUUUUUUCAUCUGUGUGAUUUUGACAAAGAUCAAAUCACAUUUGAGGGUGAUUUUAUGCAGAAAUGUGAGAAAUUCUAAAAUGUUCCGAUACUUUUUCAUACCACUGUAUUUCAUUCUGUCCCAUUUGGUCCUUCAUAAUAAACAGUCGGCGGGAAAAGAAAAUCUAUUCUGUAUGAUUACCACUGGUAACUUUGUUAAGUAGAAGUAGUUUGAUUAUUUAUUUAUACGUAAAUGAAUAUCAUGAUGAGAAUUGGAUGGAUUUCUCCAGUCUGUACAUACCUUCGUUAAGGCGAAUAAGUAAAAAACAUUUUUGCUUCCACUACUUUUCAGCUUUACAAAGUGGUGGGAAUUUUUCUAUCUUUAUUUUUUACUUUUAAUUUAUUCGGCAAUGAAUUUAAAGGGGAGUGAUGUGUGUUUUGUUUUUUAUUUAAGAAUUUAUGACUCUUUAAUUAACUUCAAAACAAGGAAUACACUUAUUAUAGAGUUUAAAUGACCUGCUGUAAAUGUAAGUUAAAAAGAAAAACAACAAUGUUUCUUUAUUUAUUCUCUACAAUGGCUGUUUUAAAACACAUCUUUAAAAGAAAAUAAAGUACGAUUUAGAAGAAAAGAUG